ACAAAUAACCCUAAAAUGGAAAAAAAUCCUUCACCAAUACAAUGAAUAUGGGAAAAGAGAAGAUUAGUGUCACAUUGGGAUUUUUUUUUAUCUGUGAGAUAUAUUCUAAGAGGAGAUACUAAAGAGUAAAGGCAUCACCGGAGCAAGAAAAUUCAGUAGCAAAAGUCUUAAACCUUUCAUCUAUGGGAAGGGUGAAUUCUGUGGCUGAAGCUAAGACAAAGAAUGAUCCGCCGUCGACAUAUCAUAGAGAUGGGGAGGAAGGUUCAAGAACCGUAACUGAAGAUCAGAUUCAGAUAGAUGGGGAGCAAACUAAAACCCUAGUUGAAGAGGACCAAAGAGGUGUGGAGGAAGAAUCUAAAACCCUAAUUGAAGAAGACCAAAGAGGUGGGGAGGAAGAAUCAAAAACCCUAAGUGAAGAUCAGAAGGAUGUGGGUGAAUCAAAAACCCUAAUUGAAGAUUUGAAUGUAACAGAGGAAGGGGAAGAGGAAGAGCAAGAAUGUGUGUUGUGCAGGUACAUAAAGGGAGGUGUGUGCAAGGAUGCGUUUAUAAAAUUGGAGAGAUGUUGGGAUGAAGCAAUGAAGAAUAAUAAAGACGAAACAAGUAAAUGUAAGGAGGCAAGACUCAUGUUCAAUGCUUGUAUGAAUGAUAACCCUGUUUACUAUGAGCCCAUUCUUGUUCUUGAAGCUAGAGAGAUGGCUAAGAUGUUGAGCGAGUUGUUGAACGCGGAAAAGGAGGCCAUUCUCGUUGGUGAUGCUGCAGUCAUUGCUAGGACGUUAAACGGGCUGCAAAAAGACGAUGCUGAGCCUAUAACCGUUCUUCCUGCUGAAGCUGCAGCCAUUGGGAAGGCGUUUAGUGAGUUGGAAGCUGGAAAGAAGAAGGAGAAGGAAGCAGAGGGAUCCAAGGGAAACGAGAGUGAUCAACAAAAUCAGAAUUAGGAUAUUCCGAUUUUUUUUGUUUGUCUAAACCCUUACUUUUGUUAAGGAUUGGUUUAGAUUCAGUGUUUCGUUUUGGCAUACUUUCCGUGGGACUGGAGGUGAUCCAUUUGGUGCGGCGACUAAGUAUUGGCCUUGGGAAGAUGGUACCAACUCUGUGUUUUAUGGCUAAGAGAAGAAAAGCAAUCAGUCUCACACUAUCUUCUUCAUGGAUGCCAUCACAAGCACCCAAAAGAUGGCCUUCGUCUUGUUAUCCCUCCUACUGCCACAGCUGUUCUCUUG
This is a non-coding RNA of Camelina sativa (false flax), 1214 nucleotides long. Lineage: Eukaryota; Viridiplantae; Streptophyta; Magnoliopsida; Brassicales; Brassicaceae. The record is from RefSeq and is a predicted model, not a curated record.